GAAUUGUGAUGACAGCAUGACUGUGUGUCCCGGGAGAAGAUCUGCUCCGUGGUCUAAUGGAAUCUAUGAUUUAUCCACUCAUCUGUAUUCAAGCCAAAUCUUCAUGGUGAAAUCCUAAGCAAUCUGGCAGUUGGUGGAAAAUCGGUAUUUUUCAAGUCACUUGAAUUGUUCAAUGGUCACAAGAAACUACUAGUUGCUUAUUUUAGUGAAUUAUGCUGCAUUCACUGGGAUACAGCAAACAUACAGCAAAGUCUACACAAAUCUCUAGCUGAUAAAGAACAGUACAAGCAGCACCUGUGCCAAGACCCCCAGAAGGGCCCAGCCAUGUGGACAACGGGGAGGAGCUGGGGCUUUGGGCACAGCCCUGCUGCAGAGCCUGGGCCUGAGCAGCUCUUUGUGAGCCAGGGUCCUGUCACAUCCGUCUUCUGUGCCGUCAAAUGGAUGCCUGCUGACAUUCUCUGGAAUUCAAUUUGUUGUUUUGUAAAAAUAUCUGCUGGAGGCAAUUCAAGAUGCCUUUUAACUGAUAAAGAGGGGACUUUCAAAUGCAGAUC
This 551-nucleotide long non-coding RNA is filed under the name Homo sapiens (human). RNAcentral's name for it is "HSALNT0338635". Lineage: Eukaryota; Metazoa; Chordata; Mammalia; Primates; Hominidae. The record is from RNAcentral.